GGAUGUAUUACUGGGCAAAUUCUUUUUGGCAGUUGAUGGUUUCGAAUUUUUGGUAAUUAAUUAAGAGAUUACCAUCAUCAGUUCACUGCCAAAGGAAAUUUGCCCGGCAAUUCAGCC
Molecule: non-coding RNA, 117 nt
Organism: Beta vulgaris subsp. vulgaris (sugar beet)
Lineage: Eukaryota; Viridiplantae; Streptophyta; Magnoliopsida; Caryophyllales; Amaranthaceae
Source: Rfam